AUUCCAGCUCUAAUAGCGUAUAUUAAUGUUGUUGCGGUUAAAAAGCUCGUGGUUGAAAGUGAAGGGUAAAACUGGAUCUGGGGAAACCCAUUUGCAGUUAUUAGCGCGUUUUAAGGUAUUCGGUUUACUUGACUUAAUUGUCAAAUAAGCUUAACGGAUGCCUCGUAGCUACUCUGAUAAAAUCAGAGUGCUUAAAACAAGCCUUUAAGCUUGUAUAUUUGUGCAUAGUAUAGCAAAAUAUGACCUAAGCUAAUAAAGAUGGUGAUUAGCCGUGGUAAUGAUUAAAAGGGAUUGUCGGAGGCAUUUGUAUUUGAAAGUGAGAGGUGAAAUUCUAUGAUCUUUCAAAGACAAACUAGCGCGAAAGCAUUUGCCGAGUAUGUUUUCAUCA
RNAcentral lists this ribosomal RNA (388 nucleotides) under Acartia sp. RNAcentral's name for it is "partial small subunit ribosomal RNA". It matches the Rfam family "Eukaryotic small subunit ribosomal RNA", at positions 582 to 975 of the family's 1831-position model. Lineage: Eukaryota; Metazoa; Arthropoda; Copepoda; Calanoida; Acartiidae. The record is from RNAcentral.